GAUUACCCGCUGAACUUAAGCAUAUCAGUAAGCGGAGGAAAAGAAACUAACUAGGAUUCCGUCAGUAACGGCGAGUGAAGACGGAAUAGCCCAAGGUUCAAACCUGGAUCUCUUCGAGGUUAGGUGAUGUGACCUAUGGACUGAUGGAGCCCGCUGCUGUGACCGCUAAUUCCGUUUGGAAUUUCGAGUCGUAGAAGGUGAUAACCCUGUUCGCGGUAUCACAGUAGUUGGACUUUGUCAUUAGCUCCACGAGUAGGAAUGUCUGAAAUUGCAUUCUGAAUGGGUGAUAAGAUUCAUCCAAGGCUAAAUAUAUGUUAGGAGAUCGAUAGCAUACAAGUACCGUGAGGGAAAGGUGAAAAGAACUUUGAAAAAAGGUUUAAAAGUAUUUGACACCGUUUAUGUGGAAGCGUUUACUUGGACCCUCUAUUAAUGACGUCGGUUUAGCUCUAAUUCUUAGGUGGCCAAAGUAGAGUGUUACGUGCUGAUCAAAAGGUAACGGACAUUUGAUUCAUUGGUUAUCGACGAGGAAGGUACUCUAAAUCGGCCAGUUACUAACGGGUGAGAUCUGAUGUUUAUAAAAUGGGGGAUGAGGCUUAUCGGCUUGCUGGUGGCUCGCUUUCAAUAAUGGACAUUGGGUUUCAUCAAGAGUGCAAAAUGGUGGCAAUUCACUAUUAGUGGUUAUUAAUUUUGUCUGCGUGGCUUGGCCUUGUCUACAGGUUAUCUUCGGAUGGCUUGUAGCUUUGUUGAACGCGUGGGCUUAAUGUUGUGACUCUAGUAGCGUUACCAUAUCGUUAGAGUGGGUCCAAUAAAUGUCCCGUCUUGAAACACGGAUCAAGGAGGCCGUUUUGUGUGCAAGUGUAAGAGUAAUUAAAACUCUGACGCGUAUUGAAAGAAAGAAUACUCCAAAAGAUCGUAACCACGGUUACCUUCUGUAAGGAGUGCCCGAAUCAUGAGAACUCUGUUUCGAAAGGAUUUGCGGUUGAGCACCUAGAAUGGGACCCGAAAGGUUGUGAACUAUGCCUGAGGAAGGCGAAGUCAGGGGAAACUCUGAUGGAGGCUUGUCGCAAUGCUGACGUGCAAAUCGCUUGUCUAACUUGGGUAUAGGGGCGAAAGACUAAUCGAACAACCUAGUAGCUGGUUCCUUCCGAAGUUUCCCUCAGGAUAGCUGGAGCAGUAUUCUAGUUCCAUCUUGUAAAGACAAUGAUUAGCAGUUUCGGGGGCGUAAUGCUCUCAGCUGAUUCUCAAACUCUGAACGGGUGGGUAUCAUUUUAAUUCACUUAAUUGGAUUUUAAAAUUAAAUUGUACAUGUGCAAUGAAAAAUAGGAGCUCUUAGUGGGCCAUUUUUGGUAAGCAGAACUGGCGAUGU
This 1366-nucleotide ribosomal RNA is filed under the name Dictyostelium discoideum. RNAcentral's name for it is "eukaryotic LSU rRNA". It matches the Rfam family "Eukaryotic large subunit ribosomal RNA", at positions 19 to 1159 of the family's 3401-position model. Lineage: Eukaryota; Evosea; Eumycetozoa; Dictyosteliales; Dictyosteliaceae. The record is from RNAcentral.